AUACGGAGGGUGCAAGCGUUAUUCGGAAUCACUGGGCGUAAAGGGUGCGUAGGCGGUUUGAUAAGUCUGAUGUGAAAUCCUAUGGCUCAACCAUAGAACUGCAUUGGAAACUGUCAGACUAGAAUACUGAAGGGGCAGAUGGAAUUAGUGGUGUAGGGGUAAAAUCCGUAGAUAUCACUAGGUAUACCGAAAGCGAAAGCGAUCUGCUGGGAAGUUAUUGACGCUGAGGCACGAAAGCGUGGGGAGCAAACGGGAUUAGAAACCCUAGUAGUCC
Molecule: ribosomal RNA, 274 nt
Filed under: uncultured bacterium
Lineage: Bacteria
Description: partial 16S ribosomal RNA
Rfam family: Bacterial small subunit ribosomal RNA
Source: RNAcentral